Molecule: ribosomal RNA, 264 nt
Filed under: uncultured bacterium
Lineage: Bacteria
Description: partial 16S ribosomal RNA
Rfam family: Bacterial small subunit ribosomal RNA
Source: RNAcentral
GUCCUUGCCGUAAACGAUGUAUACUUGAUGUAAUUAGGCUCAACCCUGAUUGUGUCGAAGCUAACGCGAUAAGUAUACCGCCUGAGGAGUACGCUCGCAAGGGUGAAACUCAAAAGAAUUGACGGGGGCCCCGCACAAGCAGUGGAGCAUGUGGUUUAAUUCGAUGCAACGCGAAGAACCUUACCCAGGCUCGAAAUGCAGAGGCUAGUACCAGAGAUGGUAUGUUCCGUAAGGACUUCUGUAUAGGUGCUGCAUGGCUGUCGU